RNAcentral lists this ribosomal RNA (497 nucleotides) under uncultured bacterium. Its description in RNAcentral is "partial 16S ribosomal RNA". It matches the Rfam family "Bacterial small subunit ribosomal RNA", at positions 28 to 507 of the family's 1533-position model. The record is from RNAcentral.
GAUGAACGCUGGCGGCGUGCCUAAUACAUGCAAGUCGAGCGAACAGACGAGGAGCUUGCUCCUCUGACGUUAGCGGCGGACGGGUGAGUAACACGUGGAUAACCUACCUAUAAGACUGGGAUAACUUCGGGAAACCGGAGCUAAUACCGGAUAAUAUAUUGAACCGCAUGGUUCAAUAGUGAAAGACGGUUUUGCUGUCACUUAUAGAUGGAUCCGCGCCGCAUUAGCUAGUUGGUAAGGUAACGGCUUACCAAGGCAACGAUGCGUAGCCGACCUGAGAGGGUGAUCCGCCACACUGGAACUGAGACACGGUCCAGACUCCUACGGGAGGCAGCAGUAGGGACUCUUCCGCAAUGGGCGAAAGCUUGACGGAGCAACGCCGCGUGAGUGAUGAAGGUCUUCGGAUCGUAAAACUCUGUUAUUAGGGAAGAAGAAAUGUGUAAUUAACUAUGCACGUCUUGACGGUACCGAAUCAGAAAGCCACGGCUAACUACGUG